Non-coding RNA from Elaeis guineensis (African oil palm), 1395 nucleotides. The record is from RefSeq and is a predicted model, not a curated record. NCBI's taxonomy places the organism in Eukaryota, Viridiplantae, Streptophyta, Magnoliopsida, Arecales, Arecaceae.
UGCAGCCACUCUAGGUCAUCAGGUUGACAUAUGACUUAUUCAAAUAUUCAUAAUUUCUUCACACAGCAUAUAUUCGUUAUUUUUAAAUAAAGUCCCAGAUAUCGUUUACCGGAUAUCACCGGUUGGAGUGCAUUUUUCUUUACCUGGUAUCGUCAGGUCAGGAGAUAAAGAGCGGAGCGAGAAAGAGCUUGGAGGAUGGUUACUGUGAUUCGAGGUGGGUACAUAUAUCCGCAUGCGCCGUGCGGAGGACAGCGCGUCCUCGGGUCUCGCAAUCGCCGCUCCGUUGGACGGAUACCGAUCGGUGGCGUUAUCCCAGCUUUCCACACGGUGAAUCACUUCUUCCCCCCACCACUCCUCUCCCUCCUCUUCUUCUCAUCGUCUUCUUCUUCCGUCUCAUUGUCCCCCCAAAACCGGCAUCCAAACCCUUCUGGAAUAGAUCGGAAUAGACCCCCCCCCCUCCGUACCUAUCACCGACCUCAUUGCGAUCCAAAUCCAGGAGGCUUUCGAAUAGAAAUUCGAAACCCUCGCCGUCCUUGCUUUGUUACCGCCAAGUGGAGGAGCGCAGCUCAAGAGGAUGGAAGAACUGGUACUUUUAUGAUUGGCAACGAAAGAUUUCCUGCCUCCCUCUUGGAUCUUCCAUGCAUAGUUGAAUCUUAUAAAACUUAUGAUGAUACUGUGUUAAUCAAAACUGCUGAUAUUGGUCAGAUUAUUAUGGUAAGAGAAGAAGGUGAUCCUGCUCCAGAAGGGAUUGAGUACAAGCAUGGCCUUACCCCACCAAUGAGGGAUGCUCGCAGAAGGCGCUUCCGCAGAGAACCUGAUCUAAAUCCAGAGCUCGUCCAGCGGGUCGAAAAAGAUCUACUUAACAUUAUGUCUGGUGGGACAGUAGAGAAUAUCCUUUUUGGAUGAUAAUGUUUUUUGAGAUAUAAUUGCUUUCACUGGGACCUUGCGUGUGCAGAUGAAUUCAUGGGAGUUCCGUACCUGGAGACCUUUAUGUCUUAAAGUUAUAUGUUGGGGUUGAAAUUUGCCUGCAGUUCUUGCCGUGUGGUCAACACAAGAAACCUGCUGAGACGCCUGAGGCAAAGCCAGAAGACGUCCCCUUGGAGGCUGCUACUAAUGGGGGUGGUGAACGCGAGAAAAGUGACUCUGAUGAUUCACUGGAGCCUGAAACUUAGAGAAGGAAAUACCAACUUGGUUAGUUGAAUACUUUGGCUGCAACAACAGAAGGUUGUAGAAAAAGUCCCCCGGCUUAUCCUUCAAAUCGUGAUAAUGGUUUUACCAGUUCUUACAUUGUCAUGGGAAAAACUCGUGUUAAAAUUUUUGUUGCCUGUCUUAGAACUCAAAAAACCCCAUUUUGGAAGAAAAUAAAAGUGGUCUUAUGUCUGUCUGUUACAAUCU